GAUUCCGGGAGUAGUGGCGAGCGAAACUGGAUGAGGCCAAACCGUAUGCGUGUGAGACCCGGCAGGGGUUGCGCAUGCGGGGUUGUGGGAUCUCUCUUCCACGGUCUGCCGGCCGUGGGACGAGUCAGAAACCGUUGAUGUAGGCGAAGGACAUGCGAAAGGUCCGGCGUAGAGGGUAAGACCCCCGUAGUCGAAACGUCAGCGGCUCGUUUGAGA
Molecule: ribosomal RNA, 216 nt
Filed under: Streptomyces antibioticus
Lineage: Bacteria; Bacillati; Actinomycetota; Actinomycetes; Kitasatosporales; Streptomycetaceae
Description: partial 23S ribosomal RNA
Rfam family: Bacterial large subunit ribosomal RNA
Source: RNAcentral